UUCUGUUGUUGACGAGGUUGUUGAUGUUGUGGUUGAUACAUUGGUUGUUGUUGUAUGGGUUGUUGAUAAGGUAUGGGUACCACGGCAGCGACUUGGCCAUAUGAAGCCUGUUGCUUCCCCUUAUAGCCUCUAGAUACAGCAUUCGUUUCACCCUCUUUUUUCUUCUGGAAGCCUCCAGAAUACUUUUUCGGUGCGCUAGAGGUGGCCACAGCUCCUGAAAUCUUUC
This 226-nucleotide long non-coding RNA is filed under the name Lathyrus oleraceus (garden pea). RNAcentral describes it as "Pisum sativum (pea) long non-coding RNA (PSAT_LNC040381)". The record is from RNAcentral. Lineage: Eukaryota; Viridiplantae; Streptophyta; Magnoliopsida; Fabales; Fabaceae.